UCUGGAAACUNUCUGACUUGAGUGCAGAAGGGGAGAGUGGAAUUCCAUGUGUAGCGGUGAAAUGCGUAGAUAUAUGGAGGAACACCAGUGGCGAAAGCGGCUCUCUGGUCUGUCACUGACGCUGAGGCUCGAAAGCGUGGGUAGCGAACAGGAUUAGAUACCCUGGUAGUCCACGCCGUAAACGAUGAGUGCUAGGUGUUAGGCCCUUUCCGGGGCUUAGUGCCGGAGCUAACGCAAUAAGCACUCCGCCUGGGGAGUACGACCGCAAGGUUGAAACUCAAAGGAAUUGACGGGGGCCCGCACAAGCGGUGGAGCAUGUGGUUUAAUUCGAAGCAACGCGAAGAACCUUACUAGGUCUUGACAUCCCGAUGCUAUUCUUAGAGAUAGGAAGUUACUUCGGUACAUCGGAGACAGGUGGUGCAUGGUUGUCGUCAGCUCGUGUCGUGAGAUGUUGGGUUAAGUCCCGCAACGAGCGCAACCCUUAUUGUUAGUUGCCAUCAUUAAGUUGGGCACUCUAGCGAGACUGCCGGUAAUAAACCGGAGGAAGGUGGGGAUGACGUCAAAUCAUCAUGCCCCUUAUGACCUGGACUACACACGUGCUACGAUGGUCGGUACAACGAGUUGCGAGCCGGUGACGGCAAGCUAAUCUCUGAAAGCCGAUCUCAGUUCGGAUUGGAGGCUGCAACUCGCCUCCAUGAAGUCGGAAUCGCUAGUAAUCGCGGAUCAGCACGCCGCGGUGAAUACGUUCCCGGGCCUUGUACACACCGCCCGUCACACCACGAGAGUUUGUAACACCCGAAGUCGGUGAGGUANCCUUUUAGGGGCCAGCCGCCUAA
RNAcentral lists this ribosomal RNA (836 nucleotides) under uncultured bacterium. Its description in RNAcentral is "bacterial SSU rRNA". It matches the Rfam family "Bacterial small subunit ribosomal RNA", at positions 625 to 1460 of the family's 1533-position model. The record is from RNAcentral.